AGUCCCUCCUCCUACGAACUUCCUCAGUCCCUCCUCCUCCUACGAACUUCCUCAGUCCCUCCUCCUCCUACGAACUUCGUUUCUUCAUGAUUUCCUCUCUCCUUCCUGCAGUUAUGCUCUCAACCUCUCACCAUAUGUACUAGAUUCGCAGCAACCUGAAGAUUCAUGAUAUCUGGUCGAGGAUUGGAUUCUCUAGCAAGAUGUAGAUGGUUGGUUUUCCUGGAAAAAUAUUCAUUCAAUUGAGAAACAAACACUGUGUUCUUCUUCAAUGGGAAGGUGGAAAAUCGGACUCCAUAUCUCUUCAAGGAGAUACAGACUUGGAUCAUGAAGAGGUUUCAUGCCAAUCCAAGCACAAACAUUGAACUGAAAUAUCUGUCAGAGCUGUCUAUUGGGGAAUCAGAACUUUCAUCCCUUUUCUUAGGAAUCAGAACUUCAGUUAAGGUUAUUUAUCUAUCAGGAAACCUUUCUUUCUGAAACUUUCAUUAAUUUAAUCUUUGAACUUGCAGAGUGAUCAUCUAAACCUGUUCAUCGUACACUUGAAGGAUUUGAGCUCAUUGUGUUCUGUACUUUAAGGAAACUGUUAGAGAACUUCAUCCAAGUUUGUCGUAGUCUGAAGAAUCACAUAGCAUAAUUACUGAUACACUUAAGCAGCUGGAGUCUGCUGUAUUCAGAUUGCGAGAGCUUAAGCUUCAGAGAUGCAGAAGACCCAGGAGCAACAAAAUCGCGCUAAAACCAGCAUACUGGAACCUCUUUUCCACACAACUUCAACAAUGUCAGCAGCAGUGGAGCAAACUCCGCAACCCUUCAUUCUUCGUCUUCAACAAUCCCUCGUCUCCUGCUCCAAGGCAGUUGAAGCUGGUGAUUUUCGUCAAUCGGAAUAAGUAAUUUCUGGGAUUGUUGAGUUUCUCAGCUCAAUUUCUGAUGUUGCUGUUUCAGAUUUUGACGAUAAAGAAACCCAGAACAAUUCAAUCGUUGUUCUCUCUCAUAUUCACUCUUUCCUUUGAAACCCUUCUCUUGAUCAGGUCUACACUCCGAGGAUUGCGCCUUAUGCGAGGAAUUUGAUGUGGUUCGUGAGCAAUGGGCUAAGUUUUUUACCAGCAAGUAUUUAUUAUUGGCUUUAGCGCGCUUGAUCGAGUUGGUUUAGUUGUUAUAGAAUAAAUUUUAUAUUAAAAUGUAUGUUUAUGUUGAAAUUGGAACAUAUAUUUAAAUGUAAUAUGUGCACUUUGGUUUUGGGAUAUAUAGUAUACAAAACUCCAGUUGUUGUUUUUAUAUUUGUUA
Molecule: long non-coding RNA, 1278 nt
Organism: Spinacia oleracea (spinach)
Lineage: Eukaryota; Viridiplantae; Streptophyta; Magnoliopsida; Caryophyllales; Amaranthaceae
Exons: 6
Source: RefSeq, a predicted model, not a curated record